AUGGAAAUUCAACAUUAAUAUUAUAAUAUUUAUUUAUAAAUAUUAUAAAAAUAGUGUGCAAUUUUUCCAUAUAAGGACAUUGUAAUCUGUUAAUGUUAUAAAUAUUUAUCAUAAGAUUCAGUAUAUAAAAGUUUAUUCAAAUUAGUUAUUUUCCGAUUUCUAACAUAGAAUAAAUUUAAUUGAAUUUGAUAAAUCAUUGACAGAUUUAUUUAUAUAUAGUGCUUAAAUUCUUAAUUGAAUUUUACAAUAAUUUAUAAAUGUAUUUUCAUUUAUUUAUUUAUUGUAUGCACUUAUAUGAUUAACAAUGCUAUAGAUUCAGGAUACCUUCGGGACCCGUCUUGAAACACGGACCAAGGAGUCUAACAUAUGUGCAAGUCAUUGGGUAUUUUUAAUAAAACCCAAAGGCAUAAUUAACUUAACUGUUUUUUUAAUAUGGGAUUAGUUUAUAUUUUAUUAUGAAAUAUUAAUUCAAUCCCGGGGCGUUCUAUAUAGUUAUGUAUAAUAAUAUUUAUAUUAUUUAUGCCUCUAACUAGAGCGUACCUUGAGCAUAUAUGCUGU
Molecule: ribosomal RNA, 558 nt
Filed under: Merodon obscuritarsis
Lineage: Eukaryota; Metazoa; Arthropoda; Insecta; Diptera; Syrphidae
Description: partial 28S ribosomal RNA
Source: RNAcentral